RNAcentral lists this ribosomal RNA (479 nucleotides) under uncultured bacterium. Its description in RNAcentral is "partial 16S ribosomal RNA". It matches the Rfam family "Bacterial small subunit ribosomal RNA", at positions 28 to 507 of the family's 1533-position model. The record is from RNAcentral.
GAUGAACGCUGGCGGCGUGCUUAACGCAUGCAAGUCGAACGAAGCACCUUGAUUUGAUUCUUCGGAUGAAGAUCUUGGUGACUGAGUGGCGGACGGGUGAGUAACGCGUGGGUAACCUGCCUCAUACAGGGGGAUAACAGUUAGAAAUGACUGCUAAUACCGCAUAAGACCACAGCACCGCAUGGUGCAGGGGUAAAAACUCCGGUGGUAUGAGAUGGACCCGCGUCUGAUUAGGUAGUUGGUGGGGUAACGGCCUACCAAGCCGACGAUCAGUAGCCGACCUGAGAGGGUGACCGGCCACAUUGGGACUGAGACACGGCCCAAACUCCUACGGGAGGCAGCAGUGGGGAAUAUUGCACAAUGGGGGAAACCCUGAUGCAGCGACGCCGCGUGAGCGAUGAAGUAUUUCGGUAUGUAAAGCUCUAUCAGCAGGGAAGAAAAUGACGGUACCUGACUAAGAAGCACCGGCUAAAUACGUG